CUGUGCUGAGCCUCUGGAAGGGGGAAAGCAGUCUAGUCCCGCAAUGCUUUAGGAGGAUGAUAAUGAAAGUGAAGCAGUUUGCCUGUCCAGCCUUAGAUCUCCGCAGUCUUGGUGCCUUCCUGCCAUUCAGUCUCCUGCUGAGGCUGAGUGCUGUGGGGCUAUUCCUGGUGAUGAAGAGGAUGCUGCCCUGUUGUCCUCCUCCUUAGCUCAUCACCCCUUGCUGAGCAGACCACUUGUGAUGAUCCAGGACUGGGACACAAAGGCCCAUCUGUAAAACAACCAGUUGCUAGAGGCAGCCUCAGAGCAUAUAACUUCUAAAACAAACUCCAAUGAACUGUCUGGACACAUUUCUACUCCCAACUCACCAGCCCUUGCAACCCUGGGGUUUGCUUCUCAUUCUAAGAGAGUACUUCUCUGGUACCCUGUGACCCCU
RNAcentral lists this long non-coding RNA (433 nucleotides) under Corvus moneduloides (New Caledonian crow). RNAcentral's name for it is "lncRNA (ENSCMUG00000020281.1)". Lineage: Eukaryota; Metazoa; Chordata; Aves; Passeriformes; Corvidae. The record is from RNAcentral.